Molecule: long non-coding RNA, 436 nt
Filed under: Pongo abelii (Sumatran orangutan)
Lineage: Eukaryota; Metazoa; Chordata; Mammalia; Primates; Hominidae
Description: lincRNA
Source: RNAcentral
AUAGUCAGUACAAUAAGAUAUAAAUAGAAACAAUAAAAAGUUAAAAAGCAGGAGAACGAAAUUAAGAGACAGGAUCUCACUGUGUUGCCCAGCCUGGAGUGUAGUGGUGUGAUCACAGCUCACUGUAGCCUUGAAAUCCUGGUCUCAAAUAAUCCUCCAGCCUUGGCCUCCCAAAGUACAAGAAUUACAGGCAAUGAUCACUGCACCUGGCCUGGCUCCAUUUUUAAAUUUGUCAAGAGAUUACGACCAAGAAAAUUUAGAAUGAUUUACCAUUCUAAAUAUAUAAAAAUAUUAUGUAUUCUCAUGCAAUGUAUCUACUCUACAAAAGAGACACCCUCACCCACAGACACACACACACUCACACUCACUCUUAUCUUUACUUCCACUAAAACACACUCGUCUCAAUUUUAACAAGUUGGUAUCUCCAGUAGAAAGA